RNAcentral lists this non-coding RNA (44 nucleotides) under Trichobilharzia regenti. The record is from RNAcentral. Lineage: Eukaryota; Metazoa; Platyhelminthes; Trematoda; Strigeidida; Schistosomatidae.
AUCCAGUGACGGGUCCCAAAUAGGACGAAAUACGCAUCUUGGAU